RNAcentral lists this ribosomal RNA (253 nucleotides) under uncultured bacterium. RNAcentral describes it as "partial 16S ribosomal RNA". It matches the Rfam family "Bacterial small subunit ribosomal RNA", at positions 524 to 776 of the family's 1533-position model. The record is from RNAcentral.
UACAAAGGGGGCUAGCGUUGCUCGGAAUGACUGGGCGUAAAGGGCGCGUAGGCGGAUGGCACAGUCAGAUGUGAAAUUCCUGGGCUUAACCUGGGGGCUGCAUUUGAGACGUGUGAUCUGGAGUGAGGAAGAGGGUUGUGGAAUUCCCAGUGUAGAGGUGAAAUUCGUAGAUAUUGGGAAGAACACCGGUGGCGAAGGCGGCGACCUGGUCCUUAACUGACGCUGAGGCGCGAAAGCGUGGGGAGCAAACAGG